AUGAGAUUUACGAGAGACGUUUUUACUUAUGUAAAAAGGCCGAAGAAGCAAUCUGAAAAUAGCCAUUAAAUUUUCAAGAGAAACUUUCAGGCAAAAAUAUCGUAAAUUAAUG
Molecule: non-coding RNA, 112 nt
Filed under: Terrisporobacter othiniensis
Lineage: Bacteria; Bacillati; Bacillota; Clostridia; Peptostreptococcales; Peptostreptococcaceae
Also listed under: 1 other name
Description: Glycine riboswitch aptamer
Rfam family: Glycine riboswitch aptamer
About the family: This family represents the bacterial glycine riboswitch. Glycine riboswitches usually consist of two metabolite-binding aptamers domains with similar structures in tandem.
Source: Rfam by way of RNAcentral